Onychostoma macrolepis is the source of this 402-nucleotide non-coding RNA. Lineage: Eukaryota; Metazoa; Chordata; Actinopteri; Cypriniformes; Cyprinidae. The record is from the annotation of a RefSeq genome assembly.
AUGAUACUUCAUUCAGUCAUUCUGCUCUCUGCCUUGGCAUGGGUGAGUUUUGGAGAUGAAAUCACAGCAGACAGCACUGAGGAAUCUGCUGCUGUGGGUUUAAAUGUUACUUUAUCCUGCAGUUAUUCAUCUGCAGACUCACUUCAGUGGUACCGUCAGUAUCCCGGAUCAGCUCCUCAAUUACUUGUGCUUAUAAUAGAGAGUGUGAAAGAGACUAAGACAUCUGAUGUAGAUCCCAGGUUCUCUACUAAACUCAGAAAAGAAAACCAAGCAACAAAAGAGAUCAAACGUGUGGAUCUGAUGAUCUCCUCUGCUGCUGUAUCAGACUCUGCUCUGUAUUACUGUGCUCUGAGGACCACAGUGACAGGAAACACAUCAACACUGUACAAAAACCUGACAUAA